RNAcentral lists this ribosomal RNA (257 nucleotides) under uncultured bacterium. RNAcentral describes it as "partial 16S ribosomal RNA". It matches the Rfam family "Bacterial small subunit ribosomal RNA", at positions 524 to 777 of the family's 1533-position model. The record is from RNAcentral.
UACAGAGGGGGCAAGCGUUGUUCGGAAUUACUGGGCGUAAAGGGCGCGUAGGCGGCCUUCUAAGUCGAACGUGAAAUCCCCGGGCUCAACCCGGGAACUGCGUCCGAUACUGGAAGGCUUGAAUCCGGGAGAGGGAUGCGGAAUUCCAGGUGUAGCGGUGAAAUGCGUAGAUAUCUGGAGGAACACCGGUGGCGAAGGCGGCGAUCCGUGGACCGGCAUUGACGCGUGAGGCGCGAAAGCCAGGGGAGCAAAGCGGG